GUGAUGAGAGGCUGUCUUGUUAGCCAAAGGAGACUGCCUGUUUGCCAUUCAAGAAGACAUUUCAUGAAUGUGCAGUUUAUAAACACUCUCCUGCGAGGCCAGAGGCAAGUCAUCCUUGGCUACAAAACAGAAACUCCAAUCU
Corchorus capsularis is the source of this 142-nucleotide microRNA precursor. The record is from Rfam. Lineage: Eukaryota; Viridiplantae; Streptophyta; Magnoliopsida; Malvales; Malvaceae.